This 1134-nucleotide long non-coding RNA is filed under the name Homarus americanus (American lobster). RNAcentral describes it as "uncharacterized LOC121856386, transcript variant X1". Lineage: Eukaryota; Metazoa; Arthropoda; Malacostraca; Decapoda; Nephropidae. The record is from RNAcentral.
AAACACCUGUUGUCUCUCUUGUUACAGGUGCGGACCCCAGAUUCUGAUGACCCUACCGGCUCUUUACACCCCAGGAGAAGUCUGCUGGACGCCAUCUUGGGAGAGCUUGGAUCACCAGCUGACAGUGACAUCCACGACAACCAACUUCUCGACCGAUCCACCGAGGACGAGGAGGAACUCAAGAUGGCGGACGACGAUGACCUCCUUGAUGACGAUGAAGAUGACGUGGACUUCUCAGAGGAGCAAAUGUACCGUGGCCAUAGACUGAGGUGUGGAGGCGAGCCGGGGGAGGAUGGAGGUAGUGCGUCAGUCUCCAGGCAGCAUCCUCCUGAUCUCAGUCUCAGCUUAACGUCGCCCUCCUCACUGCUACCUCCGAAUACCCACGAUCCUGCCGAGAUUGUCUCCCCCGUCAACGUGUACAAGGCUUCAGUGUUGAUGGUUCCUGUAGAUGACUGAACCACAUAGGCAGCGGACCUACAACCACAACUAUCACCACUACCACCAUCGUCCCAGCCCUUCACCACCACUCUCACCACCACCCACCCGCCCACUGCACCGCACGGCGCUUCUCAAGGUGGCGGCGGGGUAAGUGGGGAGGAGGACUUGGGGACACCACAAUCAUCCCCAAAAUUGUCUAGGUGGACCGCCCAAAUCCCCGGUUUCCCUAAGGAGCUGGAGAGAAACAUUAAAAUCAAGAAAGGCGCCGACCAACUAGGGGUGAACAUCGAGGUGGUGGACCAAGGUGUGAACGGGGUAGUCGUCUCAUCUCUGGUCAGGAACGGCGCUGUGCACAAGGACGGUCGGCUGCACGCUGGGGACUUUAUCCUGAGUGUAAACAAUGAAUCUAUGAGACACAUUACUAACUCCCAGGCCAGAGCGAUCUUGAGAAGGACCCAACUCGUCAGCACGGAUGUCAGUAUCCUGUACAUCCGUGGGCAGGACGCUGCUGUAUUCCGAGAAGAGUGUCUCUUACAGUACCGUGAAGGACAGCUGCAGCAACAACAACAAUGUCAACAGUCUCAUUACCCACAGCACCAGACUAGUCCAAGGAUCUUCCCGAAGUACUACAGGUAAGUUGUAGGGCUGGAGUUUAGUUAUGUUGUGCCUCUCCUCCUCCUUCUCCUCUUCCAUAUC